Tachysurus fulvidraco (yellow catfish) is the source of this 1055-nucleotide long non-coding RNA. RefSeq lists it as uncharacterized. The transcript has 2 exons. The record is from RefSeq and is a predicted model, not a curated record. NCBI's taxonomy places the organism in Eukaryota, Metazoa, Chordata, Actinopteri, Siluriformes, Bagridae.
AGGGUUUUCCAAAUCUCAGACCUGUUCCUAUUAAUGUGGCCAGUGAGUGUAUUUCUAAUUCUAAACCUCUAUAUUUUCCUUUUGGAUGUCUGUAAAUCUGGAUUUCUAAUAGUCAAUCCCCCAGGUUCAGCAUCCAAAUGGGCCAACUUGUCAUAAUUACCAUCAUUUCAUUUAAGUCAGACGUCAAUCAAAGCUGUCCAUCACGAGUCGCUGAAAAAAAAAAGGUUGAGAAAGCAUGGAAGGAAGGAAGGAAAGAAAGACCUAAGGGUGUUUCAUAUCUGCCUUGCUCCCUUGCUCUAAAAGCAGCUUAUCUCUCUCACACACAUUGACCAGCAAUGCAUUUAGAAUUGCUUAUGCACUCACUGGCCUCAAAUUCAAACCAGUCCUGUAAAAAAAAAAAAAAAAAAAAAAACAAGCCAGUGUAUCUAGAAAAAUAAAAAGCAGCCCACAUUUCUCUCUGUGUAAGAGCGAAGCCAAUGAUUGAAGGAGUAAAGGUUUCUGGGCCACUUUGGACUUGAAGAAAGAAAGAAAGAAAAAAGGAUGUGCGAUUCUGGACACUGGAGAUUCAUCUUGAGAACAUUCCUUCUGUUCCUUCAUAACUUUAUCAAGCUUUGGUGCUCCACCUGAGAUUUUCCAGAAAAGUGCAUUGGAAACACAAAAAAAGGCUGGUGUAGUGAGUGAGGUGGUGAGCAGUUUAGAUAAGCUAGCUACUAAACUAUUUAUAUUCAACUACCCUAAUGAAUGUAAUGCUAGCUAGCUAGCUAUAGUUAAUAACCUAUUUCAUUAAGUGACUACCUAGCUAACUACAAAUAUGUACUGUAAAUCAACUGCUUCUUGUUGUGACGCUCGCUGAUUUAUUUCAUACCAUGCUAAUGUAAGCUAGCUAGCAUUAAGAAGCAAUCUGCCUGUUGAUUUACUGCCUGUUUUGCACCUGAAGCAAUCUGCCUGUUGAUUUACAGUAAACCCUAAAUGUGAGUCUAGCUGGAUGAUAGCUAGAUUUCAAACAAAUUUUAAUGAGAAUUCAGUUUCUAAACGAAUAAAAAAGAUAAAACUCA